AUGCUGGCUUUGGCAGCACAUAUACUAAAAUUGGAAUGACACAGAGAAGAUUAGCAUGACCCCUGGACAAGGAUGACAUGCAAAUGUGUGAAGUGUUCCAUAUUUUU
Small nuclear RNA from Peromyscus maniculatus bairdii (prairie deer mouse), 107 nucleotides. Lineage: Eukaryota; Metazoa; Chordata; Mammalia; Rodentia; Cricetidae. The record is from Ensembl.